AUUGAACGCUGGCGGCAGGCCUAACACAUGCAAGUCGAGCGGAUGAAGGGAGCUUGCUCCUGGAUUCAGCGGCGGACGGGUGAGUAAUGCCUAGGAAUCUGCCUGGUAGUGGGGGAUAACGUCCGGAAACGGGCGCUAAUACCGCAUACGUCCUGAGGGAGAAAGUGGGGGAUCUUCGGACCUCACGCUAUCAGAUGAGCCUAGGUCGGAUUAGCUAGUUGGUGGGGUAAAGGCCUACCAAGGCGACGAUCCGUAACUGGUCUGAGAGGAUGAUCAGUCACACUGGAACUGAGACACGGUCCAGACUCCUACGGGAGGCAGCAGUGGGGAAUAUUGGACAAAGGGCGAAAGCCUGAUCCAGCCAUGCCGCGUGUGUGAAGAAGGUCUUCGGAUUGUAAAGCACUUUAAGUUGGGAGGAAGGGCAGUAAGUUAAUACGUUGCUGUUUUGACGUUACCAACAGAAUAAGCACCGGCUAACUUCGUG
RNAcentral lists this ribosomal RNA (484 nucleotides) under uncultured bacterium. RNAcentral's name for it is "partial 16S ribosomal RNA". It matches the Rfam family "Bacterial small subunit ribosomal RNA", at positions 30 to 507 of the family's 1533-position model. The record is from RNAcentral.